RNA transcript from Colias croceus (clouded yellow), 5310 nucleotides. It is a transcript of the gene named protein held out wings, with no coding region annotated. The transcript is spliced from 8 exons. NCBI's taxonomy places the organism in Eukaryota, Metazoa, Arthropoda, Insecta, Lepidoptera, Pieridae. The record is from RefSeq and is a predicted model, not a curated record.
UUCACUUCAGUUAACUUCGUCAAUCGUCAUUUAGUGGUGACCGAAACUUCGAUGUGUGUGGUAGUGAAGUUAACUUUUCUAACAUAGUAUUUCACAAAAUAACACAUAAUUAACUACUAAAGUACAAUAACGUAUCGACCGUGAUAAUAGAAACAUUCAACGUGUCUUUAGUUUUUUGAAUAGUAUUCAAAAUGUGUGAUAAUAACAAUCCUUCGACGCAAAGUAUAGCGGACUACUUAGCUCAGUUGCUCAAAGACAGGAAGCAACUGGCUGCGUUCCCGAAUGUUUUCAUGCACAUGGAACGACUUUUGGAUGAAGAAAUUGCAAAGGUCCGCGCGAAUCUAUUCCAAAUAAAUGGGGUGAAGAAAGAGCCCCUCAUUCUUCCGGAAGCAGAAGGCAUGGUCACCACACUCACAGAAAAAGUAUACGUGCCAGUCAAAGAACAUCCAGAUUUCAACUUCGUGGGCAGGAUUUUGGGACCGAGAGGCAUGACCGCCAAGCAGCUGGAGCAAGAAACAGGUUGCAAAAUCAUGGUCAGAGGCAAAGGAUCCAUGAGGGACAAGAAGAAGGAGGACGCAAACAGAGGCAAGCCAAAUUGGGAGCACCUGGCUGAUGAUCUACACGUAUUGCUCACCGUGGAAGACACGGAGAACAGGGCAAAGAUCAAGUUGGCCAGGGCCGUGGAGGAGGUUAAGCGUCUGCUUGUUCCACAAGCAGAUGGUGAGGAUGAGUUGAAGAAACGCCAAUUAAUGGAAUUGGCCAUCAUUAACGGCACAUACCGCGACUCGAGCGCGAAAGGCGUCGUGCCUGUCAACGGUCAGUGCGUAUUAACUGACGAGGAGUGGCGGCGCGUGGCGGCGGAGACGCAGCGGCUGCUGGCGCCCGGCGGCGGCGUGGGCGGCGUGGCGCUGCGCGCGCAGGCCCCGCUCGGCGCGCCGCUCAUCCUCUCCCCGCGCAUGACCACCGGCCCGGGAGCUCAAGCGAGCCUGCUGAACGGCACGGGCGCGGGCGCGGCGGCCGGCCUGCUGUCGCCCGGCGAGCCCGCGCACCAGCUGAUCUACGCGUCGCCGUACGCGGACUACGCCAACUACGCGGCGCUCACGGCCGCCGCCAACCCGCUGCUCACGGCCGAGUACGCCGCCGCCGACCAUACGGCGUCGAGGUAUCUUCUCGCUGGCUUUUGACAUUGGCCGCACACGCAACAGACCUCAAUAAGAUUCGACAGGCUCCCAUCACCGGCCUUCGCAACAUAUUUACCGUCCUUGACAGAUCUAUAUACACGAAUGCCUUUCUAGAGUCAUAUUAUCAGUUAACAUAGACUAAGCUUAAUUAAGAACAAUGUAGCUGUAAAUCCGUGUUUUGUACCUACGUUUAGAUUUUUCUAAACUUUGUUUUCUGUCUGUUGUGUACAGUCAUUUGAAAGUAUAACUUGUUUUGAACAAAGAGUUAUUAUUAUUAUUUAUUAUAUAGCAGAUUUUAAUAUUUACACAGAUUAAUAUAAUUUACGUAUUUAUUGCAAAUUAUAUUUUAUGUUUGACUCCUUUCGAAUGGCAGUUUUAGAUGGAGUUUUCUAGGAUAAUAUUGUUAAACUGCCAAUAGAAACCCUUAAGUUACCGAUACAUCGUAUACAAAGACAUAGAUUUUUUAUACACACACACACACUUGUCUUUUAACCAAUAGUUUUUAUUCAUUUAAAUAUCUUUAGAGUAUUGUGAUUACCCUUGCUUGUAACAACACUAAUACAUUAACAUGUUUCAUCCCUUAGUUUCAUAUUUUCGGUCAUCCUGCAUGUUUACUCGUUUUUUUUUUUCACAGUUGUGAAUAACAUCAGUUUUAUAUUAACAGGAAAAUCUCUGAAUGGCGAAAUAAAUAAAAUAAAAUUCAGCGAUUACAAGCAAAAGGGACCAAUUACGAUUUGAAUUAUAUUACAAUGAUUCGCAAAUUAUAAUUAUUAUAUUUAAAAUAUUAACCACACUGAUAAUUUACGCGAUACACAUUUUUAUACGAACACGAAUAAGUUCUCAUCGACACAUUUACGUUUCUGACAAUAUUUUAACGUAAUAAAGAGAACGACAUAGAACACAUACAAAAUGUUAUUCUAUUGUUUAAAAUUGUAUGGUAAUUUAUUAAUUUAUUAGCCAUAAUAUAUUAUCGUAUUUAUAUACAUACCAUAGGUUAAGACAUAUUUUUAUCUUCUGAAGAUUAUACGUUAGCUUAGGAACGAGUGAGCUUUAUAAAAUGAGUAGAUGUACACCUUGUAUGUCCGAUUUUUUCGCAGUUUAGUCAAUUCAAGUUCUGAUAAACGUUCUAUUUGAUUCUCAAAUCAGCCAUUUUGUACGUACCUUAGCGGGAUAACCCGAUUUGAAAUCUCUUUUAGUUUUUCCAAAGCAAUAAUAAAAUAGGUUAUAUAGGCUUAGAUGCACACAUAGAAUAUGUUAGUGAUACUGCCAAAUUAAAAGCUUCGAAUUUUUUUUUUUUUAUAUUUUUGUUGCCAGUGCUUACGCUAUUGCAAGUGAUGCAAAUUUAGCUAUUGAUGAGAUUAUAUUAUAUUUUUUCAGCAUUUAUACCACCCAGGAGGUAAAAAAUAUUCCGUAAAUUCACACAUAAAUACAUGUUAAGAAAAAAUUUAUAAAACUAAAUUCAUUAAUCACGACUGAAAUUUCACUUGUAUCAAAAAACCUGGGUGUGAAUUCGUAAAAAAAAUAAUGCAUUGGUUGAUAAGAAUGCUCUGUUCAGACACAGAUGAUAAAUAUCCUGUGCCGCUAGGUGUCGUGCGGAGGGCGGGUCGGCUCGCGCAAGUGAGGGAGCACCCUUACCAGCGCACGGCCUUACCGGCGCCUUAAAUAACCCGCCAUUUGCUCUCACGCCGCCAUUUUGUUCACAAGGUGCGUGCUAAGGCGCCGAGGCACUAACAGCAGACGCGGCCGCCCGCCCCACCGGACUCGGUCGCCGCGUAACAUUAUCAUCGGAACAUCGACCACCAUGUAGCUAUAGCUGUUGGGCCUUUCACGUUAACAUUUACUAUGUAUUUUAAUAGUCUAACUAUUAACAUUUAUAUGCCUGUUAUGUUUAUAACAUGAUGAACUUUAUUAACAAAUUUAUAUACUAUAUUUUUAAUGGCACACGCCAUCGACUAUAUUCACUAUUUUGUACUUCUGUUGUCGCUUAUUAUGUUUAGCACGAGUGUUGCUAGGUUACCCUAUCUAUGACGGCGUUAAAUUUUAUUUAAAUUUAUUUAUAUAUUUCAUGGAAAAUUAUGGUCAAAAUUAUUAUUAUUCAGUUUUGAAAUGUUUUAAAAUUUAGCGCCGUAAAAUAUUAAAUGUUUAUUUAUCCCUAAAGGGAUAUAUUUCGGUACUAUUAUUUCGUGUUUUGCUUCAAGUGUUUUUAUUUGAGUAAAACGUGCCUGACCGACAGUAGUUAUAAACCUAGUACAAAGAAAUAAAUAUGUAAUAUCACAAAAAAAUUAAUGAACUCCUGGGAUGAAGAUCGUGGCCUUAAACAAGAUGGCGGCCAAACUGUAAGUAUUUUCUGUUCAAAUCGAAUAUAAUCAGCACUCAAGAUUUGACUGAUGAUCGAGUGAUUCGAAUAAUAAUUAUAAAUUUUCAUGUACGAGUCGAUUUCUUUAUUUUGGCAGAAAUAUAUAUAAACUUAAAACCAAAGACUAAUGUUUGCAGACGUAACAUCUGUUAGAAACAUUAUUGUUGAAAAAGUCUUCCUACAAUAUUGAAUAAAAAUUGUCGAUGCGUACAUGAAUUUUCAAAAAUAAUAUGUUUAUAGAAGUAUAUUUUUAUUUUUAGUGCUUAAUAUUUAUACAUGGAUAUCAAAUGUGCAUCCCAAGUGCCUUAACAAUGUACAAUGUUCACGUUUGUGGUUCUAUACAUAUUGUUAUGCUUAUUUAAUAGUUAAGGAAAGUUAGAAGAGAUUAAAUUAUUGUUAACUUUACUAAAUGUUAAUGUUUUUCACCUUUUUUUGCAUAAAUCAAUGGAGUAUGAAAUUAAUCUCUUUAUUUUGAUAGGUUUAUUAGUAGGUAUAUAGUUUUAUUAUAUUUUUUACAUUAAAGCCUUCGUUGCAAUCUCUUGCGAGAAUCUCUAGUGCGUUAUCGCAAUAAAAGUUUCUUUAAUGGGUUUUGUAAUAUCUAUUAUACAUUGAUUUUUAUAUUCUGUGCUUACGUCUCGAUAUAGAUAAAAAGCAACUAGGGCAAUCAUAGUUUAAUUGUUAUUGUAAAUAGCUUUUAAAAGUAAUAAAGUCAAAGCAAUAAUAUUUUCAAUAAUUACAUUUAUUAACGUUAGUGCAAUAGAUGUGUUAAUGCGAAUUCAUAUUUUAUUAUAGGUCUCAAUAGAUUCGUUGAGAAAUAUUUAAAAUAUAUAAGAGAUCUGAUGUUGAGAUUAAAUCUUAUAAUAAAAUUAGGAACAAUACCUUUAGGAAAUGAUACGAAACAUUCAAAAUAAUUAAUACAGUAAAAACCGUUUCAGUCAUAUAAUUCGAAUAUUUUCUCAAUAAUUUUCAAUUUAAACGCUGUCCGUCCAUGAUUACUUCAUCGUGUAAGUACUUAAUUUGUUGAUAGUUCAUAGUAAAGUGUCACUUCACGCAAUUUUUUAUGGAAUGAAGAUCGAAAUGCCCUGUAUUUCUUUUCAAAAUCACAUCUCUGCAAUAAUAAUAAAAUAAAAUAUUGCUUCCCAACGUUUUCGUUUUUAAUAUUCAUAUUCUAUUUCAAAUAAUUUAUAGAUAAGUAAGAAUAUAUUUAGUUUUUAUACUCAAGAAUACAAAAUUUAUUUAUAAUCACAAGCUUUCCUACAUUUGUUUGGUACAAAAUUAUUUUAUACAAAUCUAAGCAUUUAAAAACGUGCGAUGCCAUAGACACAGUUUUGAAAUCUAAUAGCAAUAGACAUUAAGAAACUAUAAACGUACAAAGCUUGAAACUGCUUCUAUAUAAUAUCUUGUAUAUUAUAUGCCACUGUUGCUAAUAGCUUGCGAUCGCGAAGCGUUUUAGAACAUAAUUGUGCCAUCAGAGACGUGUUAAAAUCGACGUCAUUAUUAUAUUAAUUGUACUUAUUAUAGCGAUAUUAACGGCAAUAAAAAUCGAGUGCCUUUUAUAAACUCUUUGUAAAUAUUUAUACAUUAUUGCAUAUUUUUCAAAAGUAUUAUAUAGAGGAGAAUGAAUUCUUAAAAUUGUUUUCCAAAAACAAAUUAUCAUAGUAUAUCUUUAUCUACGUUAAAAUUAGUUAAGUGAGAUUGUGCAUAUUACUUAUGUCUGUUUUAAUGUGUGUCUAAGAUUGAUUUGGCAUUAGUAAAUAUAUUAUUUGAAAAAUG